Molecule: ribosomal RNA, 460 nt
Filed under: uncultured Bacillus sp.
Lineage: Bacteria; Bacillati; Bacillota; Bacilli; Caryophanales; Bacillaceae
Description: partial 16S ribosomal RNA
Rfam family: Bacterial small subunit ribosomal RNA
Source: RNAcentral
UGGCGGCGUGCCUAAUACAUGCAAGUCGAGCGGAUGACAGAGGAGCUUACUCCUCUAGAUUCAGCGGCGGACGGGUGAGUAACACGUGGGCANCCUGCCCUGUAGAUUGGGAUAACUCCGGGAAACCGGGGAUAAUACCGGAUAAUCCUUCGGCCCCCAUGGUCCGAUGUUGAAAGGCGGCAUCUCGCUGUCACUACAGGAUGGGCCCGCGGCUGCAUUAGCUAGNNGGUGAGGUACACGGCUCACCAAGNCCANGAUGNGUAGCCGACCUGAGAGGGUGAUCGNCCNCACNGNGACNGAGACNCGGCCCAGANUCCUACGGGAGGCANCAGUAGGNAAUNUUCCACAAUGGCNGAAAGUCUGAUGGAGCAACGCCGCGUGAGUGAAGAAGGUUCUCGGAUNGUANAACUCNGUUGUGAGGGAAGAACAAGUNCCGGAGUAACUGCCGGUACCUGACGGA